RNAcentral lists this unclassified non-coding RNA (724 nucleotides) under Oryza sativa (Asian cultivated rice). The record is from RNAcentral. Lineage: Eukaryota; Viridiplantae; Streptophyta; Magnoliopsida; Poales; Poaceae.
CCGGUGUUUUAAGGGCACCCGCAAUGAUUAUUUAUAAGCUCUUUACAAGAGAUCCAUGUCAACAUAUUUUUCUACUUGGAAGUGAUUAAAUGAAGAGAGAGAGAGCAAAGCUAUCUACUAACCUGAAGAUAGUUUAUAGAGAAAAACGAGACAAUAGAUUAGAGAGCUAUAGAUUCCCAUGUAGACAUACCAUUGAAGUGGUUUAAUAUUAAUCUAAUUUAUUGCUGAGAUGUACAUGUUUUAUAGAUAACACCUUACUUUACCAUUACAGGUGCUCUUAAGUAAAAAAAAUGAUGCGAGGAUAUACCGAUCACAUCCACACAGUGAUACAAUCAUUGACAUAUGCACCGUAUCGAGAUACGGUGCUUUGGGCUCUGGCUGGUGAGUCUGGUUAUAUAGUAGUAUAUACACUGACACAUCCAUUAGUAACUGUGAAUAGUGAAUUAGAGCACCCGCAAUGGUAAAGUAAGGUGUUCUCUAUAAAACAUGUACAUCUCAGCAAUAGACUAGAUUAAUAGUAAACCACCUCAAUAGUAUGUCUACAUGGGUAUCUAUAGCUCUCUCAUGCAUUGUCUCGUUUUUCUCUAUAGAUUAUCUCCAGGUUAGUAGAUAGCUUUGCUCUCUCUCUCUUCAUUUAAUCUAUUCCAAGUAGGAAAAUAUGCUGACAUGGAUCUCUUAUAGAGAGCCUAUAGAUAACCAUUGCGGGUGCCCUUACUCCCUCCAU